UCAAACCCAGGUCUUCUGUAUUGCAAGCAGACUCUUUACUGUCUGAGCUACUGGGGAAGCCCUGUACCGGAGUGACUUAAUAAACUCUUCACGUAAGCCCCAGGAGAAAUGCACUGUGAUUAUUUGCAGCUCACAGAAGAGAGAAGUAAGGCUUAGAAAAGGAUUGGCAGAUUGCUGAUAUGUUGGCCAGAGGAAUGUGGAGUGAAAAUCUCUGGAAUGUUCUAGCAACUUUUAAAAUUUAUUGCCAGGAAAUGGGUGCUGCUUGUCUUCUCUGCAUCUUUUUAAAAGAUCUCUUGUGAAUCCAGUCAACUCCCAUCCAGGCUCUGAGGCCCGACAGACAGAGCCAACAGAGGGAAGGGCCUUCAGCGCAGGAGGUGCCGUGGUCAUCUGUGCAACGCCUUCCUGACAAGUGUGCAGGAAGCUCAGGCUUUUUGAGAUUUUGAGAAGCAUAUGUAGCUGAGAUGAAGUGAGCCAACGUUUUGGUCCAGGAAGAAAAGCAGAAAAGAAGAAGCUCUUGGUGAUCCUGAAUAUUAAGUCUUUUCUUUGGAGUCAGUUGUAAUUUUUAUGUCAGUUCUUGUUAUAGUAAUAGCAGACACAUACAUAAUGAAGCUUUAUUAAAGGUGGACGAGUCCCUGAGAGAAUCACCAGUGGUAAGAAGAAUAAAAAAUGUUUCACCAAAACAGCUUUUAAAAUCUCCAACAUUUAAAUUCUUCUACUCUCUCAAAAUUCAGCUUCCCCUAGAAGAAGGCCUCCUAUUUAAAUUUUUUCUUAAUAAUGUGAAAUAUCAAAUCACUUUUACUUUAACUUUUUUUUUCAUUUUAAAAUGGACUAAACCUCAUCCUUCAUAUGUUUUCACAGUUAAGAGACUUAUGAAUAUGUCGGGAAAAUGUAAUUUUGGUUAUGCUUCCUUCAGAAUUUGCUAAUGUGAAAAAAGUAUUUUUUAAAAAGAUAUGAUUUAAUGAGAGCUCUUUUUCUUUUUUUUUUUUUUUUCAGUUCCUCAGAAGAUCAAAGCAAAAUGGAAUAGAAUACCAUUCUUCCCCAACUUGGUUAGGUGUUAAAUAGUGCUCUUUGCUACCUUCUUUCUUACUCUUCAGCACAAGGGUACUAU
This is a non-coding RNA of Odocoileus virginianus texanus, 1108 nucleotides long. The record is from RefSeq and is a predicted model, not a curated record. NCBI's taxonomy places the organism in Eukaryota, Metazoa, Chordata, Mammalia, Artiodactyla, Cervidae.